GGACCUUAUUUGCCUUCAAUCUUUCCCUGGAGGAUUAAAUGGAGUAUGCUGUAUUUUUCUAGGUUGAACCCCCAACUACAGAGGUCGUGGCUAAUCACAGAGAAUCAAGCAGAAACAAGUUGGAACAGCACUGAAAAAUAAUCUGUUAAGGGACCUGGAGAAUGUGACUUGUUAUGGGUUCAUAGAGAUGUCAGAAAAGCAAGAAAUUAAAGGUCACGUUUAAAAAGAAA
This is a long non-coding RNA of Crotalus tigris (Tiger rattlesnake), 230 nucleotides long. RefSeq lists it as uncharacterized. Lineage: Eukaryota; Metazoa; Chordata; Lepidosauria; Squamata; Viperidae. The record is from RefSeq and is a predicted model, not a curated record. The transcript has 2 exons.